GACGAACGCUGGCGGCGUGCUUAACACAUGCAAGUCGAACGGAAAGGCCCUGCUUUUGUGGGGUGCUUGAGUGGCGAACGGGUGAGUAACACGUGAGUAACCUGCCCUUGACUUUGGGAUAACUUCAGGAAACUGGGGCUAAUACCGGAUAGGAGCUCCUGCUGCAUGGUGGGGGUUGGAAAGUUUCGGCGGUUGGGGAUGGACUCGCGGCUUAUCAGCUUGUUGGUGGGGUAGUGGCUUACCAAGGCUUUGACGGGUAGCCGGCCUGAGAGGGUGACCGGCCACAUUGGGACUGAGAUACGGCCCAGACUCCUACGGGAGGCAGCAGUGGGGAAUAUUGCACAAUGGGCGGAAGCCUGAUGCAGCAACGCCGCGUGCGGGAUGACGGCCUUCGGGUUGUAAACCGCUUUCGCCUGUGACGAAGCGUGAGUGACGGUAAUGGGUAAAGAAGCACCGGCUAACUACGUGCCAGCAGCCGCGGUGAUACGUAGGGUGCGAGCGUUGUCCGGAUUUAUUGGGCGUAAAGGGCUCGUAGGUGGUUGAUCGCGUCGGAAGUGUAAUCUUGGGGCUUAACCCUGAGCGUGCUUUCGAUACGGGUUGACUUGAGGAAGGUAGGGGAGAAUGGAAUUCCUGGUGGAGCGGUGGAAUGCGCAGAUAUCAGGAGGAACACCAGUGGCGAAGGCGGUUCUCUGGGCCUUUCCUGACGCUGAGGAGCGAAAGCGUGGGGAGCGAACAGGCUUAGAUACCCUGGUAGUCCACGCUGUAAACGGUGGGUACUAGGUGUGGGGUCCAUUCCACGGGUUCCGUGCCGUAGCUAACGCUUUAAGUACCCCGCCUGGGGAGUACGGCCGCAAGGCUAAAACUCAAAGGAAUUGACGGGGCCCCGCACAAGCGGCGGAGCAUGCGGAUUAAUUCGAUGCAACGCGUAGAACCUUACCUGGGUUUGACAUGGAUCGGGAGUGCUCAGAGAUGGGUGUGCCUCUUUUGGGGUCGGUUCACAGGUGGUGCAUGGCUGUCGUCAGCUUGUGUCGUGAGAUGUUGGGUUAAGUCCCGCAACGAGCGCAACCCUUGUUCACUGUUGCCAGCACGUUAUGGUGGGGACUCAGUGGAGACCGCCGGGGUCAACUCGGAGGAAGGUGGGGAUGACGUCAAGUCAUCAUGCCCCUUAUGUCCAGGGCUUCACGCAUGCUACAAUGGCUGGUACAGAGAGUGGCGAGCCUGUGAGGGUGAGCGAAUCUCGGAAAGCCGGUCUCAGUUCGGAUUAGGGUCUGCAACUCGACCUCAUGAAGUCGGAGUCGCUAGUAAUCGCAGAUCAGCAACGCUGCGGUGAAUACGUUCCCGGG
This 1343-nucleotide ribosomal RNA is filed under the name uncultured bacterium. Its description in RNAcentral is "16S ribosomal RNA". It matches the Rfam family "Bacterial small subunit ribosomal RNA", at positions 28 to 1378 of the family's 1533-position model. The record is from RNAcentral.